AUGCACGCUGGCGGCGUGCCUCAUACAUGCCAGUCGAGCGAACAGACGAGGAGCUUGCUCCUCUGACGUUAGCGGCGGACGGGUGAGUAACACGUGGAUAACCUACCUAUAAGACUGGGAUAACUUCGGGAAACCGGAGCUAAAACCGGAUAAUAUAUUGAACCGCAUGGUUCAAUAGUGAAAGACGGUUUUGCUGUCACUUAUAGAUGGAUCCGCGCCGCAUUAGCUAGUUGGUAAGGUAACGGCUUACCAAGGCGACGAUGCGUAGCCGACCUGAGAGGGUGAUCGGCCACACUGGAACUGAGACACGGUCCAGACUCCUACGGGAGGCAGCAGUAGGGAAUCUUCCGCAAUGGGCGAAAGCCUGACGGAGCAACGCCGCGUGAGUGAUGAAGGUCUUCGGAUCGUAAAACUCUGUUAUUAGGGAAGAACAAAUGUGUAAGUAACUAUGCACGUCUUGACGGUACCUAAUCAGAAAGCCACGGCUAACUACG
This 494-nucleotide ribosomal RNA is filed under the name uncultured bacterium. RNAcentral's name for it is "partial 16S ribosomal RNA". It matches the Rfam family "Bacterial small subunit ribosomal RNA", at positions 29 to 505 of the family's 1533-position model. The record is from RNAcentral.